GUAUCUUAAGUUUACAUAUCCUUAGCUUUAGCUCCUCUACAAUAAGCUAGUGUGAGAGAGCUAUGGCUAUGGCUAUCCCCUAGUGAAGAAAAAGUUUUGAAAACAUAUAGCCUCUAAGAUCAUAAUCAUGGGAGUAUAUGCAUGCCUCCUAAUUUCCCUCUUAUUAAUCCUUCAAACUGUUGGGAUUUCAUCCCUUUCCAUUAAUGCUUCUAAUUCUUUUCAAUAUGAAUCUCUUUCCAAUUCAAACCACUCAUUCAACUCCAUCCCUCCUCUUCAAACUCAUCAUCAUCAACAAGUACUUGUGGUGAACAGACGAGGCGGUGGAGAAGAGAAUAAGACGAUGGAUAGUUGGACUGUUUUAAAGGCUAAAGGGGGAAGGUCCGGCACCGGGGCGGCAGGUGCCAACAAUCACCGGCCGGGAAAGGCGAACCAGAAGAACGCAGCUUCCAGUUUGAUGAACUCUAAUAAUAUAAUUAUGAUUACGACUUUGCUGCUCUCUUCCUAUUUAUACCUGUUCUAGUCAUCUUUUUUCAUUGAUUUCCUUAUGGAAUAAUACGGAAAGAUAUAUAUAUAUAUAUAUAUAUAUAUAUAUAUACAUAAAUAUCUUUUUGUUUGAGCAAAUUUUUGUUAUCAACCACUUCUAUACAUACAUACAUAUAUAUAUACACACAUACAAGAAUCUUGCCAUGACAAGAUUUGGUGUCUAAUCAAUAAAUUGGAUUUCAAUGUCCUUUGCAUUAAUUGUUCCCUUAUUUGGGAGAAAUUUCCAUAGGAAGACAAAUUUCUAAUAUGAACGAAAAGGGUAUAGAAUUUCGACAGUAUUAGAAAUUUUUAUUAUUUAAGUACUUAUAUUAUAUUGGUCUUGGUAAAUAAUUAUUAAGGUAAUUAAACCCUUGUUCAAUUAA
Molecule: long non-coding RNA, 905 nt
Organism: Benincasa hispida (wax gourd)
Lineage: Eukaryota; Viridiplantae; Streptophyta; Magnoliopsida; Cucurbitales; Cucurbitaceae
Source: RefSeq, a predicted model, not a curated record